This 485-nucleotide ribosomal RNA is filed under the name uncultured Glomus. RNAcentral's name for it is "SSU rRNA". It matches the Rfam family "Eukaryotic small subunit ribosomal RNA", at positions 569 to 1058 of the family's 1831-position model. Lineage: Eukaryota; Fungi; Glomeromycota; Glomeromycetes; Glomerales; Glomeraceae. The record is from RNAcentral.
AGCAGCCGCGGUAAUUCCAGCUCCAAUAGCGUAUAUUAAAGUUGUUGCAGUUAAAAAGCUCGUAGUUGAAUUUCGGGGUUAGUAGGUUGGUCAUGCCUCUGGUAUGUACUGGUCUCACUGAUUCCUCCUUCCUGAUGAGCCGUAAUGCCAUUAAUUUGGUGUUGCGGGGAAUUUGGACUGUUACUUUGAAAAAAUUAGAGUGUUUAAAGCAAGCUAACGCUUGAAUACAUUAGCAUGGAAUAAUGAAAUAGGACGUUCGAUCCUAUUUUGUUGGUUUCUAGGAUUGACGUAAUGAUUAAUAGGGAUAGUUGGGGGCAUUAGUAUUCAAUUGUCAGAGGUGAAAUUCUUGGAUUUAUUGAAGACUAACUACUGCGAAAGCAUUUGCCAAGGAUGUUUUCAUUAAUCAAGAACGAAAGUUAGGGGAUCGAAGACGAUCAGAUACCGUCGUAGUCUUAACCAUAAACUAUGCCGACUAGGGAUCGGAU